Molecule: ribosomal RNA, 253 nt
Filed under: uncultured bacterium
Lineage: Bacteria
Description: partial 16S ribosomal RNA
Rfam family: Bacterial small subunit ribosomal RNA
Source: RNAcentral
UACGUAGGGUGCAAGCGUUGUCCGGAAUUAUUGGGCGUAAAGGGCUCGUAGGCGGUCCGUCACGUCGGGAGUGAAAUCCUGGGGCUUAACCCCAGAACUGCUUCCGAUACGGGCAGACUAGAGGUAGGUAGGGGAGAAUGGAAUUCCUGGUGUAGCGGUGGAAUGCGCAGAUAUCAGGAGGAACACCGAUUGCGAAGGCAGCUCGCUGGAACGUUACUGACGCUGAGACGCGAAAGCGUGGGGAGCAAACAGG